RNAcentral lists this ribosomal RNA (223 nucleotides) under Strumigenys perparva. RNAcentral describes it as "partial large subunit ribosomal RNA". The record is from RNAcentral. Lineage: Eukaryota; Metazoa; Arthropoda; Insecta; Hymenoptera; Formicidae.
GAAUUUAAUAUAAUGAUUUAUAAGAAUAAUUUUAUUUAAGAUAACGAUAAAUAAUUAUAAUUUAGUUGGGAGGACUUUUAAAUUUAAAUAACUUUAAAUAAAAUAAGUAUAUAAAUUAAUAUAUAAAAAUAUUUAGAAUGAUUAUUAAAUUAAUUAAGAAUUAAUUACCUUAGGGAUAACAGCGUAAUAUUUUUAUAGAGAUCAUAUUGAUAAAAAUGAUUGC